UUUGCUUCAGGGUGAGGGUUACUUUAUGGACUGUGUUUUUAGCUUGUUCUCAUGGUUUAAAUGUAAAACAUUAAUGCACAAAAUGAACACAAUAGUUCUAUGAAAAGUUGGUCCUAGAACUCGGUCUUUUUGUUCUCCUUCCCAUAUGUGCCAAGGUUGUAGUGCUAACCUUAGCCUUUGGAAAAAAAAAAAAAAAAGAAAGAAAAAGAAAAAAGGAAUAACCUGAGCUGAGAUGCUGUGUGAAAUAAUUAGUCAGCUGCAUGCAUUUUUGCUUUGAGAAAUCUGUCUGGACAGUGAGUUUAUAGGGGUGUGCUAGUAGCUUGGGUUCAGGUGCAAUAGGUCUCUUCUUUUACUCAACUUCAACAUGAAGGGGGAUGUGUUUAUAAACAAGAUUCUGGGAGUUCUCAGACUUUCAGUUGAGACUGAAGAUGAUUAAUGCCUCCCUUAUUUCUAUUUUAUUGCAGAGAAAAGUGUUUUAUGCUUGAAUUUUCUGGCACCAGUUCCUGUGGCUUUAAAGAAAAGUGCCACUGUGAGAGAAGUCUGGAAAACCUUAGAAGUGGACCGGUGCAGGAAAUAUCGAGAUGGGCUGAGCCAUGACCAGGAGGUUUGUAUUGGCAAACUUAAUGUUUUCUUAAGCGACCCAAGAAUCUGGUCUGUUAUUAUCUUCCUCCUCUUCCUGUUACUCUUCCUCGCAGUGGGGUGGGGGAGAAAACUGAAAAGUGCAAGAGCUUGUGGGUUGAGUGGGCAAUUUAAUAAGAAAGAAGAAAAGGAAAAAGAAAGAAAACAACCACCAACACAGUAAUAGCAGAAAGGAU
This 815-nucleotide long non-coding RNA is filed under the name Numida meleagris (helmeted guineafowl). RNAcentral's name for it is "lncRNA (ENSNMEG00000014988.1)". Lineage: Eukaryota; Metazoa; Chordata; Aves; Galliformes; Numididae. The record is from RNAcentral.